This 252-nucleotide ribosomal RNA is filed under the name uncultured bacterium. RNAcentral describes it as "partial 16S ribosomal RNA". It matches the Rfam family "Bacterial small subunit ribosomal RNA", at positions 524 to 776 of the family's 1533-position model. The record is from RNAcentral.
UACGGAGGAUGCGAGCGUUAUCCGGAUUUAUUGGGUUUAAAGGGUGCGUAGGCGGAUUUUUAAGUCGGCGGUAAAAUGUCCGGGCUCAACCCGGGCCGGCCGUUGAAACUGGGGAUCUUGAGUGGGCGAGAAGUAUGCGGAAUGCGAGGUGUAGCGGUGAAAUGCAUAGAUAUCACGCAGAACUCCGAUUGCGAAGGCAGCAUACCGGCGCCCGACUGACGCUGAGGCACGAAAGCGUGGGGAUCGAACAGG